GGAAUAUUGGACAAUGGUUGAGAGCCUGCUCCAGCCAUCCCGCGUGAAGGACGACGGCCCUAUGGGUUGUAAAAUUCUUUUGUAUAGGGAUAAACCUACCCUCGUGAGGGUAGCUGAAGGUACUAUACGAAUACGCACCGGCUAACUCCGUGCCAGCAGCCGCGGUAAUACGGAGGGAGCAAGCGUUACCCGGAUUUAUUGGGUUUAAAGGGUCCGUAGGCGGAUCUGUAAGUCAGUGGUGAAAUCUCACAGCUUAACUGUGAAACUGCCAUUGAUACUGCAGGUCUUGAGUGUUGUUGAAGUAGCUGGAAUAAGUAGUGUAGCGGUGAAAUGCAUAGAUAUUACUUAGAACACCAAUUGCGAAGGCAGGUUACUAAGCAACAACUGACGCUGAUGGACGAAAGCGUGGGGAGC
Molecule: ribosomal RNA, 414 nt
Filed under: uncultured bacterium
Lineage: Bacteria
Description: bacterial SSU rRNA
Rfam family: Bacterial small subunit ribosomal RNA
Source: RNAcentral